GUCAGCUCGUGUCGUGAGAUGUUGGGUUAAGUCCCGCAACGAGCGCAACCCUUGAUCUUAGUUGCCAGCAUUUAGUUGGGCACUCUAAGGUGACUGCCGGUGACAAACCGGAGGAAGGUGGGGAUGACGUCAAAUCAUCAUGCCCCUUAUGACCUGGGCUACACACGUGCUACAAUGGAUGGUACAAAGGGCUGCAAGACCGCGAGGUCAAGCCAAUCCCAUAAAACCAUUCUCAGUUCGGAUUGUAGGCUGCAACUCGCCUACAUGAAGCUGGAAUCGCUAGUAAUCGCGGAUCAGCAUGCCGCGGU
This 308-nucleotide ribosomal RNA is filed under the name Bacillus sp. Expt2_482I6_P13WB_H06. RNAcentral's name for it is "bacterial SSU rRNA". It matches the Rfam family "Bacterial small subunit ribosomal RNA", at positions 1054 to 1363 of the family's 1533-position model. RNAcentral also lists the same sequence under 1 other name. Lineage: Bacteria; Bacillati; Bacillota; Bacilli; Caryophanales; Bacillaceae. The record is from RNAcentral.